RNAcentral lists this ribosomal RNA (253 nucleotides) under uncultured bacterium. RNAcentral's name for it is "partial 16S ribosomal RNA". It matches the Rfam family "Bacterial small subunit ribosomal RNA", at positions 524 to 776 of the family's 1533-position model. The record is from RNAcentral.
UACGUAGGGGGCGAGCGUUGUCCGGAAUUAUUGGGCGUAAAGGGCUCGUAGGCGGUCUGUUGCGUCAGGAGUGAAAACUCGGGGCUUAACCCCGAGCCUGCUUCUGAUACGGGCAGACUAGAGGUAUGCAGGGGAGAACGGAAUUCCUGGUGUAGCGGUGAAAUGCGUAGAUAUCUGGAGGAACACCGGUGGCGAAGGCGGCGUUCUGGACUGCAACUGACACUGAGGAACGAAAGCCAGGGGAGCAAACGGG